UACAGAGGUGGCAAGCGUUGUUCGGAAUUACUGGGCGUAAAGGGCGCGUAGGCGGUUCGAUAAGUCCCGUGUGAAAGCCCCCGGCUCAACUGGGGAACUGCACGGGAAACUGGCGGGCUUGAGUGUGGCAGAGGGGGGUGGAAUUCCGCGUGUAGCAGUGAAAUGCGUAGAGAUGUGGAGGAACACCGAUGGCGAAGGCAGCCUCCUGGGCCAAUACUGACGCUCAUGCACGAAAGCGUGGGGAGCAAACAGG
RNAcentral lists this ribosomal RNA (253 nucleotides) under uncultured bacterium. RNAcentral's name for it is "partial 16S ribosomal RNA". It matches the Rfam family "Bacterial small subunit ribosomal RNA", at positions 524 to 776 of the family's 1533-position model. The record is from RNAcentral.